GCGUAAACUUCCCCACCCGCAGCUCGCCAGAGGAUUACAAGUGAAAAACUUGAAACUCCAAGGACUUGACGGUGUCCUAUCCAUACUAGAGGAGCCUGUCCUAUAAUCGAUACCCCACGUUAUACCUUACCCCCCCUAGCUCAACCUAUAUACCGCCGUCAUCAGCUUACACUGUGAACCCAUCACCGUAGGCGAAACUACCGCACAUAAACACGACAGGUCAAGGUGUAGUCCAUGGGGGGCCAGCGAUGGGCUACAUUUUCUAAUUAGAAAACACCGCCAGCACCGUGAAACUGCUAAAAGGGGGAUUUAAAAGUAAACCUGGCAAGACAUGCCAACUUGGCGCCCUAGGACG
RNAcentral lists this ribosomal RNA (355 nucleotides) under Pristurus collaris (collared rock gecko). Its description in RNAcentral is "partial 12S ribosomal RNA". It matches the Rfam family "Bacterial small subunit ribosomal RNA", at positions 875 to 1381 of the family's 1533-position model. The record is from RNAcentral. Lineage: Eukaryota; Metazoa; Chordata; Lepidosauria; Squamata; Sphaerodactylidae.